This 484-nucleotide ribosomal RNA is filed under the name uncultured bacterium. RNAcentral's name for it is "partial 16S ribosomal RNA". It matches the Rfam family "Bacterial small subunit ribosomal RNA", at positions 30 to 507 of the family's 1533-position model. The record is from RNAcentral.
AUUGAACGCUGGCGGCAGGCCUAACACAUGCAAGUCGAGCGGAUAAAGGGGGCGUUCUCCUGGAUUCAGCUGCGGACGGGUGAGUAAUGCCUAGGAAUCUGCCUGGUAGUGGGGGAUAACGUCCGGAAACGGGCGCUAAUACCGCAUACGUCCUGAUGUAGAAAGGGGGGGAUCUUCGGACCUCACGCUAUCAGAUGAGCCUAGUUCGGAUUAGCUAGUUGGUGGGGUAAAGGCCUACCAAGGCGACGAUCCGUAACUGACCUGAGAGGAUGAUCAGUCACACUGGAACUGAGACACGGUCCAGACUCCUACGGGAGGCAGCAGUGGGGAAUAUUGGACAAUGGGCGAAAGCCUGAUCCAGCCAUGCCGCGUGUGUGAAGAAGGUCUUCGGAUUGUAAAGCACUUUAAGUUGGGAAGAAGGGAAGUAAGUUAAUCCCUUGCUGUUUUGACGUUACCAACAGAAUAAGCACCGGCUAACUUCGUG